Molecule: ribosomal RNA, 574 nt
Filed under: uncultured bacterium
Lineage: Bacteria
Description: partial 16S ribosomal RNA
Rfam family: Bacterial small subunit ribosomal RNA
Source: RNAcentral
UGGGGAAUUUGGACAAUGGGCGAAAGCCUGAUCCAGCAAUGCCGCGUGUGUGAAGAAGGCCUUCGGGUUGUAAAGCACUUUUGUCCGGGAAAGAAAUCCUUGGCUCUAAUACAGUCGGGGGAUGACGGUACCGGAAGAAUAAGCACCGGCUAACUACGUGCCAGCAGCCGCGGUAAUACGUAGGGUGCAAGCGUUAAUCGGAAUUACUGGGCGUAAAGCGUGCGCAGGCGGUUUGCUAAGACCGAUGUGAAAUCCCCGGGCUCAACCUGGGAACUGCAUUGGUGACUGGCAGGCUAGAGUAUGGCAGAGGGGGGUAGAAUUCCACGUGUAGCAGUGAAAUGCGUAGAGAUGUGGAGGAAUACCGAUGGCGAAGGCAGCCCCCUGGGCCAAUACUGACGCUCAUGCACGAAAAGCGUGGGGGAGCAAAACAGGAUUAGAUACCCCUGGUAGUCCACGCCCUAAAACGAUGUCAACUAGUUGUUGGGGAUUCAUUUCCUUAGUAACGUAGCUAACGCGUGAAGUUGACCGCCUGGGGAGUACGGUCGCAAGAUUAAAACUCAAAUGAUUGACGGGG